Molecule: ribosomal RNA, 497 nt
Filed under: uncultured bacterium
Lineage: Bacteria
Description: partial 16S ribosomal RNA
Rfam family: Bacterial small subunit ribosomal RNA
Source: RNAcentral
GAUGAACGCUGGCGGCGUGCCUAAUACAUGCAAGUCGAGCGAACAGACGAGGAGCUUGCUCCUUCGACGUUAGCGGCGGACGGGUGAGUAACACGUAGGUAACCUACCUAUAAGACUGGGAUAACUUCGGGAAACCGGAGCUAAUACCGGAUAAUAUUUCGAACCGCAUGGUUCGAUAGUGAAAGAUGGCUUUGCUAUCACUUAUAGAUGGACCUGCGCCGUAUUAGCUAGUUGGUAAGGUAACGGCUUACCAAGGCAACGAUACGUAGCCGACCUGAGAGGGUGAUCGGCCACACUGGAACUGAGACACGGUCCAGACUCCUACGGGAGGCAGCAGUAGGGAAUCUUCCGCAAUGGGCGAAAGCCUGACGGAGCGACGCCGCGUGAGUGAUGAAGGUCUUCGGAUCGUAAAACUCUGUUAUUAGGGAAGAACAAACGUGUAAGUAACUGUGCACGUCUUGACGGUACCUAAUCAGAAAGCCACGGCUAACUACGUG